AGUGAACGCUGGCGGUAGGCCUAACACAUGCAAGUCGAACGGCAGCACAGUAAGAGCUUGCUCUUACGGGUGGCGAGUGGCGGACGGGUGAGGAAUACAUCGGAAUCUACUUUUUCGUGGGGGAUAACGUAGGGAAACUUACGCUAAUACCGCAUACGACCUACGGGUGGAAGCAGGGGAUCUUCGGACCUUGCGCGAUUGAAUGAGCCGAUGUCGGAUUAGCUAGUUGGCGGGGUAAAGGCCCACCAAGGCGACGAUCCGUAGCUGGUCUGAGAGGAUGAUCAGCCACACUGGAACUGAGACACGGUCCAGACUCCUACGGGAGGAAGCAGUGGGGAAUAUUGGACAAUGGGCGCAAGCCUGAUCCAGCCAUACCGCGUGGGUGAAGAAGGCCUUCGGGUUGUAAAGCCCUUUUGUUGGGAAAGAAAAGCAGCAGGUUAAUACCCCGCUGUUCUGACGGUACCCAAAGAAUAAGCACCGGCUAACUUCGUG
This 492-nucleotide ribosomal RNA is filed under the name uncultured bacterium. Its description in RNAcentral is "partial 16S ribosomal RNA". It matches the Rfam family "Bacterial small subunit ribosomal RNA", at positions 29 to 507 of the family's 1533-position model. The record is from RNAcentral.